GUCCAGGGACCUGCAGCUUUGGUAUCACUGGGAUGUCUGUCAGAACUGUAGAGUCUCAGGCUGGGCCCCGGUCCUACUGAAUUAUUCUGCGUAUAAGAAGAUCCCAGGAGGGUCACAGGCAUAUUGAAGUCUGGGAAAUACCAGGAGUAAAUGUUCCAGGCUUGGGGCCAGCAUGUGCAAAGGCCCUGAGGCAAAAAUCAAAAUGUUUCCUCUUUGGAAAUAGUCUGGAAGUCGGGUAGCCCAAGAGUGUCUUAACUGAGUCAGCUCCCUCUACAUUGCCUGCAAAAGGCGGGACCACUGAAGGAAUUUACCCUGGACCUGUGAGGGACCUCAGAAAGGAGACGGGCAAGUAGGUUGAUGACAGCCCAGCGUGAUCGGUGCCACGAUGAAGGGCAGUAACAGACGAGGAGGCAAAGAGCAGCUCACACAUGGGAGGGUCAGAGUGGUGCCAGUCCCAUGCCCCACACCCUAUGAGUGAGACCGCCUUUCCAUGGGUGCCCCAGGAGCCUCGCUGGCACAGCCCCACGAUGCCAAGGUGCAAGCCACCACGCCAGGGUAACAUUCAGAAGCAACUCCACAUCACCCACACCAGCCUCAAGCCUUUGCAUCGAGUCCUACCUGGGUCAGCCGGUGGAUGUGGCCCUGGCCCUGGCCUCCUGGGAAGAAGCAGCUCCAUGUGCUGCACUGCGUGCCUGCUGCAGUUGAUCAGGAGAGCAAGUCCAAGGGUCAAGGCAGCAUGAACCUCAGCAGAUGGCCCCAAAGCCCCUUCGGGCUCCUCUGCAGGGCUGACCACAAGGGCUAUGGGACCACCCUCCCUGACCCCACUGUGCCCGGGGAGGUGUUGCGCCAGUGGAGUGGGGUGAAAGGGAUGCAGAGGGGAAUGGCGGAGACCACACUGGUCCUGGAAUCAGAGACUCCUUGAGACCCCAUCUGCCAUCACUUAGCUUACUAACUGGGCAAACCUCCCAGCCUCAUUUUUCUCAAACGGAAAACAAGAAAAAAUAUCACCAGUCCUACUCACUUCACAAGACCGUCAAGAGGACCAGAUCAAAUGGGAUACUAUUAGUUGAAAGCAUUUUAAAGAACUGGGGUGGGGGCCAGGCAUGGUGGCUCAUGCCUGUAAUCCCAGCACUUUGGGAGGCUGAGGCAAAUGGAUCAUUUGAGGUCAGGAGUUCGAGACCAGCCUAACCAACAUGGUGAAACCCCAUCUCUACUAAAAAUACAAAAAAUUAGCUGGGCAUAGUGGCAUAUGCCUGUAGUCCCAGCUACUCGGGAGGCUGAGGCAGGAGAAUCACUUGAACCCAGGAGGCAGAGGUUGCAGUGAGCUGAGAUCGCGCCACUGCACUCCAGCCUGGGCGACAGGGCGAGACUCCGUCUCAAAAACAAAGAAACAAAAACAAAAAACUGGGGUGGAAUUCACAUAACAUAAAAUUAACCAUUUUUAAGGGUACAGUUCAGGGGCGUUUAGUACAUUCUCGCUGUUGUACAAAACUAGUUCCAAAACAUUAAUAGCCCCAAAGGAAAUCCUGUAGCCAUUAAACAGUCAUGCCCUCCAG
RNAcentral lists this long non-coding RNA (1556 nucleotides) under Homo sapiens (human). RNAcentral's name for it is "HSALNT0130440". Lineage: Eukaryota; Metazoa; Chordata; Mammalia; Primates; Hominidae. The record is from RNAcentral.